UCUGGACGCUGCUUUUGAACGGUUUUCAGGAAGUUUGAUUUCUGAAUGGGUACUGCACUUCACGGAUUUGUUUGAAUUGCCCAUGCAGCUCUAUGCUUGUUAAAGUGCAUUCUUCUUUUAAAAAAUAAGCAAGAGGAAUAAUCUUUACUCUUUAACCAAGAUUCUCUACUGGCAGGACAUCAGUCCCUGCUUUGGAGUGAAGAACCUAGUUGAAGGAAGCCACUGGUACAUACAACUGGCAGUGAAGAUUCCAAGAGAACAAAAGGCUAAUAUUUAUGAACAACUCUCUGCACUUUGCCGAUUUCUAUUGUCCCUAGUGACCGGAAUGAAGAUCAGUGAAAUGCUACAAUCAAUCCACAUCCUUCUGCAACCUUCCUGCAGUGGGAAGAGAGGCCCCGAACCACCCCCUGCAGGAGAAACAAACCUUAAGAGAUUGGUUAAGACUUAAAAACCCACCACUAUGACAUUUACCACUUAAUCUUACAUAGGCAGGUCAAAAUUUUAAUAUAAAUUACUUUUGCCAACACAUAGCUUAUGCAUUCUUUGCUCCUUUUUUUGGAGGAUUCUCAAAUUGAUAUCUAAAGACUUACAUAUGAUAUCUUACUGUUAUAUGGUCUAAUGACUAAGAAAAUUUCUCUGGUAACCAAAGCUGACUCCAUAUAUGGUAGUGUUCUUGGCAUAUACUCUAUAUGCCUCAGACCACUUCCACAUUCUUUCUAUUCAGCUAAUUAUAGCUUAGUAGCCACUGGUGAAGGAUUGUGAAGACCCUGUCAUUUCUACAGAAUAGAAAGGCAAGGCUAGUUACUGCAAUUCAGCCAAACAAAAAGAAAAAAUAAACCAACCCCUUGAAAAGGAGAGGUACUGCA
This 866-nucleotide long non-coding RNA is filed under the name Oryctolagus cuniculus (rabbit). RNAcentral describes it as "lncRNA (ENSOCUG00000039419.1)". The record is from RNAcentral. Lineage: Eukaryota; Metazoa; Chordata; Mammalia; Lagomorpha; Leporidae.